GACGGGAUGGAUUUGGGGAGCCAUCGCAGGAGCAGUGGAUUGGAGUGGUGGUCGGUGAUUUGGGAUGAGGAUGGGAGAGCGAGAGAAACUAAUCGAUCGGAGUACUCAAUCAAUCGCGGAUGCAGAUCAUACGCACAGGAGAGGGCGCCGCACGUUAAAACCAAUUCUACCACUGGGGUAAGAGAAACUUUGCAUUAUGUUCUUACACCUUAAAUGUAGAAUAGCGAUGUACUAACUUGUAGCUACUCGCUUGAAUAUUUGAAGCACUCUUAUGCUAAUCUUCCUAUCUAUAUCCAUGAAAAUGGUAAGUAUUUUGCAAUUAUUAUUAAUGACAGAUUAGUUUGUUGAUUUGGCAGCUGUGUAUACCUUUUCAAUGUAUCAUGUCCAAUUGAAGUACAAUGGAGAAUUGUGCAUUUUAAGCCAUUAUUAUGAGCUUUGCCUAAAACAUUCCGUAGUGCUACAGUAACAUGUGCACAUUUUGUCUAAAUAUUAUAUCCAGACUUAUCAGUGCCAAUUUUUUUUUUUUAUAUAUACUUUGGCAUGACUUGCAAAAAUUGUUCAACUCCAGGAUACCCAAUGCAUCAAGAUGUGGUAUUUGAUGAUGGCCCUAGGGUGGAGUUCUUAAGUGAAAACCUUAGAAGCCUACUUACUGCUGUCAGGAAUGGCUCAAACACUAGGGUCUAUUUCGUGUGGUCGUUGAUGGACUUGUAUGAACUACUCAGUGUCCGGGACACCUAUGGACUCUAUUACGUGGAUUUUGCUGACAAGGAUAUGAAGAGGUAUCCAAGGAGCUCUGCGAUCUGGCCCGUGUCCACUCAGGCCCGAAUCAUUUGCCAUGCUUGAUUGAUUGGACCGACCUAGAGCAAGUGAUUUUGGCUCGAGUGCACACGUGGAAACUGACUGUUGGACCCACAUGUUAGAAAGCCCGUCAAAUGGCCUAAACUGACGGAUUAGGGACCUAGGGUUUUUUUAGAAGCUUUGUCCGAAAAGAGGUGGUUCAUUGAGACAAUUAGCGUUAACUGUGGUUCUGUGAGAAAAAUGACACAAAAUGCGUGGUUUCAUGAAAUUUACUUCUUUUUCUAA
RNA transcript from Brachypodium distachyon (stiff brome), 1083 nucleotides. It is a transcript of the gene named beta-glucosidase 10, with no coding region annotated. The transcript has 3 exons. Lineage: Eukaryota; Viridiplantae; Streptophyta; Magnoliopsida; Poales; Poaceae. The record is from RefSeq and is a predicted model, not a curated record.